This 72-nucleotide transfer RNA is filed under the name Dipodomys ordii (Ord's kangaroo rat). It matches the Rfam family "tRNA". From Rfam's summary of the family: Transfer RNA (tRNA) molecules are approximately 80 nucleotides in length. Their secondary structure includes four short double-helical elements and three loops (D, anti-codon, and T loops). Further hydrogen bonds mediate the characteristic L-shaped molecular structure. tRNAs have two regions of fundamental functional importance: the anti-codon, which is responsible for specific mRNA codon recognition, and the 3' end, to which the tRNAs corresponding amino acid is attached (by aminoacyl-tRNA synthetases). tRNAs cope with the degeneracy of the genetic code in two manners: having more than one tRNA (with a specific anti-codon) for a particular amino acid; and 'wobble' base-pairing, i.e. permitting non-standard base-pairing at the 3rd anti-codon position. The record is from Rfam by way of RNAcentral. Lineage: Eukaryota; Metazoa; Chordata; Mammalia; Rodentia; Heteromyidae.
AGAGUUGUGGCUCAGCAAUAGAGCAUCUGCCUAGCAAACAUAAGGCUCUGAGUUCCAACCUCAGUACUUUCA